RNAcentral lists this long non-coding RNA (3714 nucleotides) under Callithrix jacchus (white-tufted-ear marmoset). RNAcentral describes it as "lncRNA (ENSCJAG00000072772.1)". Lineage: Eukaryota; Metazoa; Chordata; Mammalia; Primates; Cebidae. The record is from RNAcentral.
AUGUUAACCGAUGUCCUCCAGGACCUGAAAACCACAGCUUCUAAGGAUGAAGAAACUGAGAGUCACCUGAGAGGGUUCCUGUGCGAGCAUUGGAUCCAUCCCUUCUGUCAGGUGAGUCUGUGUGUCUUUGCUUUGGACCCAGGAGACCUAGGGUUGCCUCUGGUUCUGUCCUUGAGUGUUUCUGCUGUCUUCAUAUUACCUAAGUAAUCUCUAACUACCAGAUUUGUUGCUAUUAGAUAUGAUAAUGAAUGCAAAAUCCCCCCCUUUUUUUCUUGAGACAGGGUCUUGCAGUGUCACCCAGGCUGGAGUGCGGUGGUGCCAUCACAGCUCACUACAGCCUCGAAUUCCUGGAGUGAAGUGAUUUUCCUGCCUCAGCCUCCUGAGUAGCUGGGGUUACAGGCGUGCACCACCACAUCUAGCUAAUUUUUUAGAGGAGUCUCACUAUGUUGCCAGGCUGGUCUAGUUCUUGGGCUUAAGUCAUCCUCCUGCAUCCCAAAGUGCUAGGAUAACAGAUGUAAACCAUGUGCCUGGCCCAAAGCACCUCUUGAGUGCUCAACACACUUUUUUUUCUGCUUCACCUGACCUCUUGUCUGUUUAGGGUUUUCAUGGCUGCCAGAUUUUGCUUUGUGUUGCUAGAGGACUGUUAAAUAGGAAUUUGUCUUAAAUCUCUUUAUGUUCCCAUAUAUAUCCCCGCUGUAAAUAUUUAUCACUCCUCCAUCUCAAGUGCGACAUGGUCAAAGCCCCAUAAACUGCAUACCUCGACCAUGCCUUGGCUUUCUGUGGAAACUGCUCUCUGUGACCCUGAUGUGACAGGCAAGCAGUCCAAACCCACGCCAUCUUGGUCCUUGUGACUUGUAAUAAGUGACUAAUGUCUGUAAUUUCCACCCUACCCAGACAAUGUGUAAACUAACACUUAUCUUGACUUCUGUGAACCACUUAAGAAACAAUCGGAAUGUGAAAACCCCUCACCCUCAUUUCCAGGAGGUGAUUUACCGAAUAUCCAAAGUCCACUGGCCCUGGAAAUGUCUGAAGCCCCUCACCCCCACCCCUGCCCCUCACCCUCACCCUCGGGGUGGUUUACGGGUAUAAAAGGUCUUGACACCCUCCUUUUGGGGCCAUGGGUUGGAGAGACUCGAGUCCUCCGUGGCCGCUGGCAAUAAACACCCUGCAUUUUGGCAUACUUUUGUUUUGGUGUUGACUUUCUAUGCUCUCUCCAGUACAACAUAAGAAGGUAAUGGAGCUGUGGUGAUCUGUUGGCUCAGCGACUUUUUGGUUACAGAAUAAAAACUCAAAGUUACCAGAUAUCCCAAAGACAACUCAUCUUGUGUUUCUUUUGUUUAAAAAAUCUUAGGCUGAUUCAGAGAAGCGAGUUGACUGUUGUGCUUUGUUUUUGGGGAAUGACUGUGGUGAGUUGGAAGGGGCAGGUUAUUCUAGGGAGAAAGAGAAGAAGCCUAAGCAGAGAGAAUGCUUGGGAGAUUAGCCCAAGACCAAGAAGUAGAACAGGGAGUUGUGGAUCCCUGGGAUAAAAGCCCACAGAUCACAGCUGUAGGUGACGACGAGACCUCAUACAGGGAAUGAAAAUGAACACUAUGGGAGGGAAAGCACAAGUGAAAGAGAGGUGAAGGGAUCAACAAGAUGACCUCUGAAGACUCUUUCUUCACCAUUAAUUAUUAGACUUUAAGUGGCCAGGCAUGGUGGCUCAUGCUUGUGAUCCCAUUACUUUGGGAGGCCAAGUGGGAUGAUCACUUGAAGCCAGGAGUUGGAGACCAGCGUGGGCUACAUAGUGAGACUUUGUCUAUGAAAAAUAAAUAACUGGUGUGGUGGUGGGCACCUGGAGUCCCAGCUACUCAGAAGGCUGAGGUGGAAGGAUCACUUGAGCCCAGGAAUUGGAGGCUGCGGUGAGCUAUGAUUCUGUUAUUCAUUAUACUCCAGCCUGGGUGACAGAGCAAGACCCUGUCUCUAAAAAUUAAAAUAAAAAGUUUGUGCGUGCUGUCUUCCUCUCAAGCAAGGAAGUCUUUUUCUUUUCUUGCUGGUAAACUGUACUCCUGGCACCUAGAACUAUAGUGCGUGGCAAAUAGUAGGCACCAAGUAAAUAUGUAUUUAAUGACUGAUUAUGAAAUGAUCAGCGUUAAUGACCUGAAAAAGGGAAGUUCAAGACGGGUAAAAGGAGAGGUCAGGAUGACUGAGGUUUCCUAAGUGGGGAAGUGGGAGAAAACGCAUUAUCACCAAUAUAACUUAAAUGGCUGGUUGAGCUGGAAGCCUCAAGGGUUUGGCUUUACGUUGGGAACUGAUAAACACAUACUGAAUUCAAUGUUCAGCAGGCAAUUGGAGAUACAAGACUAAGACUUAAGAAAGUAGUCAGAGGCUGGGUGCGGGGCCUCAUGCCUAUAAUCCAGGCACUUUGGGAGGCCAAGGCGGGUGGAUCACAAGGUCAAGAGAUCGAGACUAUCCUGGUCAACAUGGUGAAACCCCGUCUCUACUAAAAAUACAAAAAUUAGCUGGGUGUGGUGGCGCGUGCCUUAGUCCCAGCUACUCAGGAGGCUGAGGCAGGAGAAUUCCUUGAACCCAGGAGGCGGAGGUUGCAGUGAGCCGAGAUCGUGUCAUUGCAGUCCAGCCUGGGUAACAAGAGUGAAACUCCAUCUCAAAAAAAAAAAAAGAAAGUAGUCAGAACUAGGAAUAGAAGACUCACUAGUCCCUCAAUGGAAGUUGGCAAAUGAAUCCUUGAGAGAUCUCAGAUACAGAAUAAGUGUUGGAGGUGGGUGGUACUGAACUGUGAGGGACAUGCACCUUUUCUGAAGUGAUGUUCAAAUGAACCUAUGACUAAUCCUGGGGUUAAGUAAAAUUUAGAGACAACUUCCAAAUCUUCAGUAUUGGUGUGUUGUUUUCCAGCCUGUGGAUUGGAGUUUUGUCUGAGACAUUGUCAGUAAGAAGGACUCUUUACUAUACAGGGUCCAGGAAGAUUCAAAAUAUUCAACUUUGUAAUCUAUAACCUGUAAAAUCUUUUAUCAGUUAUACAAAAUAUUGUAGGUCCAAAGUCUGGCACACAUUUGAUUUGGUUACAAUGCAUUAAUUUAUUCUGCAAUAAGCACAGACAUAGAAUUAAAUUGUUUACAUCCUUCCCUUUCUCCAAAGAGCACAAAUUAUAUGUGCUCUUUUUUAGUGCCUUAGACAAGAAUUCAUAAGAUCCUUCAUUUUGGGGGACAAUAAAAAAUGAUAAUGAUGAUGGAAGUUAUCAGUAUUUACUACUUUUGAAGCACUGCAGAUAGCUGUUUGGAUGGUCAGUAUAUCACCAUACGGUUAACAUACUUGUCACAAGUAAUAGUCACUGUCAUUAAUGAACAGGAUUUGGAAAACUUUUGCCAACAUGGCACUUUUGAGUACAAAAAAUAAAAGUUUUACAAGAAGAUACAGUAAAAACAGAAACUGUAGUGAAACAGAUUAGUAGUUUACAUCACCGGGAAAAAAAGAGCCAAUUUUAAUCCUUCUUCUACUUCAGAUGUUCACAAGUCUUAGUUUGGGUAGCUACAAAGAAGCACCAUAGACUUUGGGUGGCUUGGAAACACUAGAUAUUUAUUUCUCAGUUCUGGAGGCUGGAAGUCUGAGAUCACGGUUGAACUCUGCUGAGGAUCCUCUUUGAGGCGGCAGACUGUCACCUUCCUGUGGCAUCCCCACAUGAUAGAAAGAGUGUGUAAAGAGAUCUUUGGGUCCUCUUUA